Long non-coding RNA from Gasterosteus aculeatus aculeatus (three-spined stickleback), 2766 nucleotides. The record is from Ensembl. NCBI's taxonomy places the organism in Eukaryota, Metazoa, Chordata, Actinopteri, Perciformes, Gasterosteidae.
GGCCACAGCUCUACUUUACAUUGAUAUGACGGGGGCCGUGGAAGUGUGGUACGUACCCUUCGGUUGCCUUUCCAGGUUUACGCUGUGAACUUUGUCACCCCUUGAGCCAUUAAUUGUACUGUUCUGCUGUUCGCGGCGAGCCACAGGCUCAGCAGGCCACAUGUUGGGAGAUGUGUGGAGGAAUUCUGAAACACCAAUUAUAUAUGCUACAUUGGGGCAGCGGAACAAGCUGCGAAGCCAACACUGACUUAUGACAAACUUGUCACCAAAUGGCGACAUUUUUGUUCACAUUUGGAAUGUAGAAGAAUGUAGGUCCAAUUUAAAGUAAAGCAAAACAGUAAAGGUGCAAUCAGCUGAAAGAUGGGUUCAUCACAGCAACACAUGAUUGAUUUUAUUGUAAAAUGAUAUAUAGAUGCUUUCAACAUUAUUGGCCUUAGAGCUUAGAGGUUAGGUCAAUAUAGCCGUGACUUUCUACUGUCUGAGCAGAGUAUACUGGGGUUUAAACUGUCAAGCGUUGAGGGCUGCGUUUUUCUUGACAUCGUAAAACAGCGCUCCUGCUCAUGAAGAGGAAGCAUCUAACUGGAGAAUAAGUGACAAUGAAAAUCACUGAUGCCCCACUUGCUUUCAGUGCUAUUGCUGGAAAAAGAGGGAGUGUACUGAAUAAUCAACUUACCCUUGAGAUAAGCUUAGAUAGAAAAUACAACCUAUGCAUUUCUUUGCAUUCUGGAAAACUGAACCUAUGCAUGUAAUGCAGAGGACAAAUUGUCAGCAGACACACACAACUCAAACACACACACACACACACACACACACACACACACACACACACACAAACAAACAUACAUAUAUAUUUGGGCACAACACACAUUAGGAUAUUCUGCUUUCAAGGCUAGACAGAAAUAUCAAUUCCAUGAACUCAGCAAUCUGCAGAGUGCGUGUCAGUACACAGCAAAGCAAAAUGGAUGCUGGGAGCAAGCAUUGGUAAGCACUCCUCUGUAUACAUGUUCAUGUGUGUGUGUGUGUGUGUGUGUGCGUGUGUCCGUGUGUACGGCCUUCGGGGUGUACAUAUUUGUGGUAAAGUGUAAAAAAAAUGCUGAAAUAAAGAAAAUAAACGAAAGCUGGUGGUAAUGACUGGGUCACUCUUUCAAUGCGCACACUCAGACAAACGUAAAAUUAGCCUCAGAGGGUUUUACAGCCUGUACACAUGCAACAUCCUCGGCCCCAAAACCCUCACAUCGGCACAGGAAAAACUCCCCCCCCCCAAAAAAAAAACCCUUUGAUGGGGGAAAAAGGUAAGAAACCUUGGGGAGAACGUCAGAGGAGGGACUUGUCUCCCGGGACUCCAGUGGAUGUCAUGUGUACAGAAUGAACAACGUAAAAGACGUACAAUACGUUCACGACGAAAGAAGGAAAGAAGCAAAGCGGGUAAUGUUGGUUUAUGAUGACAGUAAUAGUAAUGUGAAUAAUAUUUAUAAUAAUGAUAGCAGCAGGGUCAUUAAUCCUAUUGACACUACUAACAGAUCAUUUGAUCAUAUUAUUAUUUUAUUUUAUUUUUUUCUAAAUCACCCAUUUUGCAACUUUUUUUUCUCUCUAGUUAUGUGAAUUAUUAUUUGACAUACUUUACAUUUGGCUUUCCUUACAGUUUGUAUUUAAAUAUACUUAAAUAAAAGAAAUAUCAUGAAAACAUAAUAAUGAGAAUGUAGAAGGCCAUGUUAAAUCAAGUGCCAGAUCUUUUCUUUCUGCAUUUGGUUUUGAUUCUGCAAGUGAGUGAGCAUUUGUAUAUGGGGGAGUGUGUGUUUUAAGGACCCACACAUACAUGAUAAAGCAAUUUAAACAGUAGUUUUUGUGAUGAUAUAUACAAUUCAUCCUCCAUCCAGUUUUCCUUGCUUGCUGUCAUGGCCACAACCAUCAUGUCAGGAUACAUUUUUUAGUGAAUAAUGUAGAUUUCAUAUCUUUAGUAAGUUCCAUUCCAACUUACAAUUGUUUACGGUUGUGUUGAGGUUACUGUAAGGUUAAACUCUAAUUAAGAUAUGGCAGCUUUCAUUUUCUGUUCUUCAAACAUUGGAUGUGAUAACAUUUUUCCACAUUAAUCAUGACUGUAGAGACGGUGAAGUUACAUUUUCUUCUGUUACUUUCACCUUUCAAUUCUGUCACCUUUCUUUUCGGCGGCACGUGGUGUGGUGGUUUUGCACCGUUGCCUCACAGCAAGUGAGCGAGGGUUGUCUCCAGGUACGGGCUUCCUCCGAUUGUCCAAAGACCCUCCCACCGCUGUGUCAGCCCUGUGAUUGACUGGGGACCCCUGCAGGAUUAACAUCAAUUGGGUCCAUCCCGCUGUGACCCUCUAAGGACAAGCGGUAUAGAAGAUGACUGACUGAGCUUUCUUGAUGUUAAAGGGUUGAAAAGCAAUAAUUAAAAAAUCAUUCAAAUUUGAUGAACUUCUAUUUCAGUUUUACUUCUCUGCUGUGUUGUUGUGUCAUAUCUAUUGUAGUCAGACAUUGACAACGUCCCCAUCCAAGUGACAAGGGAGUUGACAAAGAUGAAAUAGAGUACAUCCUCUUCCCCUAGGAUAUACACAUACAAUAAGACCAGUAAUAUCAAUGAAUUACUUUGAUUUUCUUAUCGGCAAAUCGAUCUCACAGACCUGUCUGUCCUACUAAAUGACCAGUGUGUUUGUUGGAUUGGCGCAAAUGAGAAAUGUUUUUCACAGUACUGUUUAAUUGCUUGACAACAUGAUUAAGAACACUGCGUUGAAUAAUAAGAUUUCAU